CAGCCGUAAACAAUGUGCGUUAGGUGUGUCGGUAACCACGUGUUACUGAUGCGCCGAAGAGAAAUCGUGAAACGCACCACCUGGGAAGUACGGUCGCAAGGCUGAAACUUAAAGGAAUUGGCGGGGGAGCACCACAACAGGUGGAGCCCGCGGUUUAAUUGGAUUCAACGCCGGACAUCUCACCGGAUAAGACAGCUGAAUGAUUGUCAAUCUGAAGGUUUUACAUGACUAGCUGAGAGGUGGUGCAUGGCGUCAGUGACU
This 261-nucleotide ribosomal RNA is filed under the name uncultured archaeon. RNAcentral describes it as "partial 16S ribosomal RNA". It matches the Rfam family "Archaeal small subunit ribosomal RNA", at positions 748 to 1008 of the family's 1478-position model. The record is from RNAcentral.